Molecule: ribosomal RNA, 1632 nt
Filed under: human gut metagenome
Description: bacterial LSU rRNA
Rfam family: Bacterial large subunit ribosomal RNA
Source: RNAcentral
GCGGAUGAACUGUGGGUAGCGGAGAAAUUCCAAUCGAACCCGGAGAUAGCUGGUUCUCCCCGAAAUAGUUUUAGGACUAGCCUCAAGUUAGAUACCUGGAGGUAAAGCACUGAAUAGCCUAGCGGCCGAGAGGUUAGCGAAGCUUAUCAAACUCAGAAUGCCAGAGUAUUGAUGCUUGGGAGUCAGACAGUGUCAGAUAAAUGUCAUUGUCAAAAGGGAAACAGCCCAGAUCUACAGCUAAGGUCCCAAAGUCAGGUUAAGUGGAAAACGAUGUGAAGAUACGCAGACAACCAGGAUGUUGGCUCAGAAGCAGCCACUCAUUCAAAGAGUGCGUAAUAGCUCACUGGUCGAGCGUCUUUGCGCGGAGAAUUUAACGGGGCUAAACCUGACACCGAAGCUUAGGCAGCAUGUUUACAUGCUGGGUAGGGGAGCGUUGUAUACGCGGUGAAACAGUAGCGCAAGCGGCUGUGGAGUGUAUAGAAGUGAGAAUGCCGGAAUGAGUAGCGCGAAUGCAGUGAGAAUCUGCAUGGCCGAAAGCCUCAGGUUUUUGGAGGAAGGUUCGUCCGCUCCAAGUUAGUCGGGAGCUAAGGUGAGGCCGAAAGGCGUAGCCGAUGCACAGACGGUAGAGAUUCCGUCACCACCAAAAGAGUUAAGCACAGGGACACAUUUGAAGUCUCAGAGCCGGGUGUUGGUUCCGGUAGAGAUCGAGGGAAGUUAGUACCGAAGUCUGGGAUGGAAGAUGGCGAGAAAAGCUGUGUGUAUUUCUGAGGUGCCCGUACCGCAAACCGACACAGGUAGGUAGGAAGAAGAUUCUAAGGCCAACGGGAGAAGGGUUGUUAAGGAACUCGGCAAAUUGACCCCGUAACUUCGGGAGAAGGGGUGCUCCAGAGAUGGAGCCGCAGAGAAUCGGCCCAAGCAACUGUUUACCAAAAACACAGGUUUGUGCUAAAUCGAAAGAUGACGUAUACGAGCUGACGCCUGCCCGGUGCUGGAAGGUUAAGAGGAGAUGUGCAAGCAUUGAAUCGAAGCCCCAGUGAACGGCGGCCGUAACUAUAACGGUCCUAAGGUAGCGAAAUUCCUUGUCAGGUAAGUUCUGACCCGCAUGAAAGGCGUAAUGAUUUGGGCACUGUCUCAACAGCCCGCCCGGCGAAAUUGUAGUACCGGUGAAGAUGCCGGUUACCCGCGACAAGACGGAAAGACCCCAUGGAGCUUUACUGUAGCCUAAUAUUGGGUUUCGAUGUUGCAUGCACAGGAUAGAUGGGACACAGGGAAACAAUCGCUUUGGCGGUUGCGGAGUGGCCGUUGGGAUACCAUCCUUGCGAUAUUGGAAUUCUAACCUGCGGCUCUGAAUCGAGUCGGGGGACAUUGUUAGGUGGGCAGUUUGACUGGGGCGGUCGCCUCCUAAAGAGUAACGGAGGCGUUCAAAGGUUCGCUCAGCUUGAACGGAAAUCAAGCAAAAGAGUGCAAACGCAGAAGCGAGCCUAACUGCGAGACUGACGGGUCGAGCAGUAACGAAAGUUGGAGUUAGUGAUCCGGUGGUAUGUGAGUGGAAAUGCCAUCGCUCAACGGAUAAAAGUUACCCUGGGGAUAACAGGCUGAUCUCCCCCAAGAGUCCACAUCGACGGGGAGGUU